RNAcentral lists this ribosomal RNA (305 nucleotides) under uncultured bacterium. Its description in RNAcentral is "bacterial SSU rRNA". It matches the Rfam family "Bacterial small subunit ribosomal RNA", at positions 337 to 659 of the family's 1533-position model. The record is from RNAcentral.
UCCUACGGGGGGCAGCAGUGGGGAAUAUUGCACAAUGGGGGAAACCCUGAUGCAGCGACGCCGCGUGAGCGAUGAAGUAUUUCGGUAUGUAAAGCUCUAUCAGCAGGGAAGAAAAUGACGGUACCUGAGUAAGAAGCCCCGGCUAACUACGUGCCAGCAGCCGCGGUAAUACGUAGGGGGCAAGCGUUAUCCGGAUUUACUGGGUGUAAAGGGAGCGUAGACGGCAGUGCAAGUCUGGAGUGAAAGGCGGGGGCUCAACCCCCGGACUGCUCUGGAAACUGUACGGCUGGAGUGCAGGAGAGGUA